GCUGGCGGCGUGCUUACACAUGCAAGUCGAGCGGAGUUUAUUGGGAGACGAUUUCGAUCUGAUCCUAGUUAAACUUAGCGGCGGACGGGUGAGUAACACGUGGGCGACCUACCCUUAAGACUGGGAUAACAACCCGAAAGGGUUGCUAAUACCGGAUACCUUCUCUUAGCUGCAUGGCCGGGGGAAGAAAAGAUUUAUCGCUUAAGGAUGGGCCCGCGUCCCAUUAGCUAGUUGGUGAGGUAACGGCUCACCAAGGCGACGAUGGGUAGCUGGUCUGAGAGGACGAUCAGCCACACUGGAACUGAGACACGGCCCAGACUCCUACGGGAGGCAGCUGUGGGGAAUCUUAGACAAUGGGCGCAAGCCUGAUCUAGCCAUGCCGCGUGAGUGACGAAGGCCUUAGGGUCGUAAAGCUCUUUCGCCAGAGAUGAUAAUGACAGUAUCUGGUAAAGAAACCCCGGCUAACUCCGUGCCAGCAGCCGCGGUAAUACGGAGGGGGUUAGCGUUGUUCGGAAUUACUGGGCGUAAAGCGCACGUAGGCGGAUUGGAAAGUAUGGGGUGAAAUCCCAGGGCUCAACCCCGGAACUGCCUCCAAAACUAUCAGUCUGGAGUUCGAGAGAGGUGAGUGGAAUUGCGAGUGUAGAGGUGAAAUUCGUAGAUAUUCGCAGGAACACCAGUGGCGAAGGCGGCUCACUGGCUCGAUACUGACGCUGAGGUGCGAAAGUGUGGGGAGCAACAGGAUUAGAUACCCUGGUAGUCCACACCGUAAACGAUGAAUGC
RNAcentral lists this ribosomal RNA (780 nucleotides) under uncultured bacterium. RNAcentral describes it as "bacterial SSU rRNA". It matches the Rfam family "Bacterial small subunit ribosomal RNA", at positions 35 to 816 of the family's 1533-position model. The record is from RNAcentral.